CUCAGUUGCAGGUCAGAAUCCCGCGACUCGUGGGAGGGAGCCUCGCCCUCCCACGCCGGCGGCUGCGCGUGCUCCCCGCCGCCCGAUGCCCCCGUCCCCCUCCUGCGGCAGCGGAAAGAGGAAAAGUGAGUCAUGGAGUCGGUGGGGAGAGCCCACCGACGCGCCCUAAGUAGGAGGAGGCACUUCGGGAGGGAGGAUCCUCUGCUCUAGAUCUAAACAAUGGCGACGCAGUGGAGAGGACGGGGCUCGCUUUGGCACUUUCUCGAGCAUCAUGUGGGCGCGCAACGCGACAGCGCACGAUCCAUCCAUCUGUAAGUCCCCCUAAUCUAAGCAGAACAGUCCCAUCUGAUCACAUCUCAUACAUGUCGGAGGGCGAUUUGUUUUCCAAAAUCCCUCGCAGGUUUCGGAUUAAUCUAAGCUCAAGCCUGUGGAUUCACGUGUACGGCACUCAACGAAAACGACGAGGCACGGGGAGCCGCCACCUCGGCCGCCAAGGGUCAAUCACACCCUGCCGACGACGCAGAAGCCCCCGGGACUGUACAUUUGCCCUCGGGUUGGAAAGUUGCACGAGCCGGUGGUGCAAUCGCAGGGUUGCCGAGGCGGCGUCGUAGAUCUGGUACUCUCCGACCCUCCCUCCCUUGACCCUCAAUGGUGAAUAACCCAACUGUCCCUUCAAAUUCAAAUUUGGAGCAUUAAAGCUUUGUCAGAGAAGAAGUGCGGUAGUUAUUGCACUCAGAUUUAAUGACAUCCAUGGCGGGACGGCGUAAAAUCUCUCUCAUUUCACAGAAUAUCUCAUGUUACCACCGUGUUCGUCACUGACCUCUCUUUCCUGCCCACCUUUCGUCAUCCUCCCCCUCGAUCAAGAACGCAGUCCGGUGUGUUCCCGGGGAAGCGAUGGUAGAGAUUUACGGACUCAUCAAUGCUCCGGAGAAGGAUCACGGCUGAUCACGCAGGGCUCAGCUGUGAUCUAUGCUCCACAUGACAGAAGGUGGGCCAUGUUUUCUUUCCAUUUUUUGUUCUUCCGGCAUUUGGGCCGGCCACAGGGUCACGUUGCAGGUGUGGCUGGCUCUGUCGGUGGUCUGUCCGCCAUGAGAAUUCUCAGGGCCUCACCGCUUUGGGAUUCAAAAGACGUGCACUGCUCGUUACAGCACCGUCGGCUAGAGUCGCUGCCCAUCCUGAGGAAGUUGCUGUAUGCCACCUCCUUUCUCACGCGUUCGAAUUGUGCUUCAUCUGCGCAGGUUUCCUGCUUCGCUUGCGGAAACUGAAGCUGAGAGAUCUUCUGUCCAGCAUAUUCUCCACCUCCUCGAUCGGCAGCCCCUUGGUUUCCGGCACGCAGACGAGCA
RNAcentral lists this long non-coding RNA (1343 nucleotides) under Spirodela polyrhiza (greater duckweed). Its description in RNAcentral is "long non-coding RNA (SPOL_LNC002016)". The record is from RNAcentral. Lineage: Eukaryota; Viridiplantae; Streptophyta; Magnoliopsida; Alismatales; Araceae.